GGCUUAACACAUGCAAGUCGAGGGGCAUCAGGAAGAAAGCUUGCUUUCUUUGCUGGCGACCGGCGCACGGGUGAGUAACACGUAUCCAACCUGCCCUUUACUCGGGGAUAGCCUUUCGAAAGAAGGAUUAAUACCCGAUAGCAUAAUGAUUCCGCAUGGUUUCAUUAUUAAAGGAUUCCGGUAAAGGAUGGGGAUGCGUUCCAUUAGGUUGUUGGUGAGGUAACGGCUCACCAAGCCUUCGAUGGAUAGGGGUUCUGAGAGGAAGGUCCCCCACAUUGGAACUGAGACACGGUCCAAACUCCUACGGGAGGCAGCAGUGAGGAAUAUUGGUCAAUGGGCGGUAGCCUGAACCAGCCAAGUAGCGUGAAGGAUGAAGGCUCUAUGGGUCGUAAACUUCUUUUAUAUAAGAAUAAAGUGCAGUAUGUAUACUGUUUUGUAUGUAUUAUGUGAAUAAGGAUCGGCUAACUCCGUGCCAGCAGCCGCGGUAAUACGGAGGAUCCGAGCGUUAUCCGGAUUUAUUGGGUUUAAAGGGAGCGUAGGUGGACUGGUAAGUCAGUUGUGAAAGUUUGCGGCUCAACCGUAAAAUUGCAGUUGAUACUGUCAGUCUUGAGUACAGUAGAGGUGGGCGGAAUUCGUGGUGUAGCGGUGAAAUGCUUAGAUAUCACGAAGAACUCCGAUUGCGAAGGCAGCUCACUGGACUGCAACUGACACUGAUGCUCGAAAGUGUGGGUAUCAAACAGGAUUAGAUACCCUGGUAGUCCACACAGUAAACGAUGAAUACUCGCUGUUUGCGAUAUACAGUAAGCGGCCAAGCGAAAGCAUUAAGUAUUCCACCUGGGGAGUACGCCGGCAACGGUGAAACUCAAAGGAAUUGACGGGGGCCCGCACAAGCGGAGGAACAUGUGGUUUAAUUCGAUGAUACGCGAGGAACCUUACCCGGGCUUAAAUUGCAGUGGAAUGAUGUGGAAACAUGUCAGUGAGCAAUCACCGCAGUGAAGGUGCUGCAUGGUUGUCGUCAGCUCGUGCCGUGAGGUGUCGGCUUAAGUGCCAUAACGAGCGCAACCCUUAUCUUUAGUUACUAACAGGUUAUGCUGAGGACUCUAGAGAGACUGCCGUCGUAAGAUGUGAGGAAGGUGGGGAUGACGUCAAAUCAGCACGGCCCUUACGUCCGGGGCUACACACGUGUUACAAUGGGGGGUACAGAAGGCAGCUAGCGGGUGACCGUAUGCUAAUCCCAAAAUCCUCUCUCAGUUCGGAUCGAAGUCUGCAACCCGACUUCGUGAAGCUGGAUUCGCUAGUAAUCGCGCAUCAGCCACGGCGCGGUGAAUACGUUCCCGGGCCUUGUACACACCGCCCGUCAAGCCAUGGGAGCCGGGGGUACCUGAAGUACGUAACAAGGAGGAUCGUCCUAGGGUAAAACUGGUGACUGGGGC
This 1433-nucleotide ribosomal RNA is filed under the name uncultured organism. RNAcentral's name for it is "SSU rRNA". It matches the Rfam family "Bacterial small subunit ribosomal RNA". The record is from RNAcentral.